RNAcentral lists this ribosomal RNA (468 nucleotides) under uncultured bacterium. Its description in RNAcentral is "partial 16S ribosomal RNA". It matches the Rfam family "Bacterial small subunit ribosomal RNA", at positions 28 to 507 of the family's 1533-position model. The record is from RNAcentral.
GACGAACGCUGGCGGCGUGCUUAACACAUGCAAGUCGAACGGAAAGGCCCUGCUUUUGUGGGGUGCUCGAGUGGCGAACGGGUGAGUAACACGUGAGUAACCUGCCCUUGACUUUGGGAUAACUUCAGGAAACUGGGGCUAAUACCGGAUAGGAGCUCCUGCUGCAUGGUGGGGGUGGGAAAGUUUCGGCGGUUGGGGAUGGACUCGCGGCUUAUCAGCUUGUUGGUGGGGUAGUGGCUGACCAAGGCUUUGACGGGUAGCCGGCCUGAGAGGGUGACCGGCCACAUUGGGACUGAGAUACGGCCCAGACUCCUCCGGGAGGCAGCAGUGGGGAAUAUUGCACAAUGGGCGGAAGCCUGAUGCAGCAACGCCGCGUGCGGGAUGACGGCCUUCGGGUUGUAAACCGCUUUCGCCUGUGCCGAAGCGUGAGUGACGGUAAUGGGUAAAGAAGCACCGGCUAACUACGUG